Molecule: ribosomal RNA, 253 nt
Filed under: uncultured bacterium
Lineage: Bacteria
Description: partial 16S ribosomal RNA
Rfam family: Bacterial small subunit ribosomal RNA
Source: RNAcentral
UACGUAGGCAGCGAGCGUUGUUCGGAAUUACUGGGCGUAAAGAGUGUGUAGGCGGUGCUCUAAGUCUGUCGUGAAAUCUCCCGGCUUAACCGGGAGGCUGCGGCGGAAACUGGUGUGCUAGAGGGUGGGAGAGGUAAGCGGAAUUCCUGGUGUAGCGGUGAAAUGCGUAGAUAUCAGGAGGAACACCUGCGGUGUAGACAGCUUACUGGACCACUUCUGACGCUGAGACACGAAAGCGUGGGUAGCAAACAGG